UCAGAUUGAACGCUGGCGGCAUGCCUUACACAUGCAAGUCGAACGGCAGCACGGGUGCUUGCACCUGGUGGCGAGUGGCGAACGGGUGAGUAAUACAUCGGAACAUGUCCUGUAGUGGGGGAUAGCCCGGCGAAAGCCGGAUUAAUACCGCAUACGAUCUACGGAUGAAAGCGGGGGACCUUCGGGCCUCGCGCUAUAGGGUUGGCCGAUGGCUGAUUAGCUAGUUGGUGGGGUAAAGGCCUACCAAGGCGACGAUCAGUAGCUGGUCUGAGAGGACGACCAGCCACACUGGGACUGAGACACGGCCCAGACUCCUACGGGAGGCAGCAGUGGGGAAUUUUGGACAAUGGGCGAAAGCCUGAUCCAGCAAUGCCGCGUGUGUGAAGAAGGCCUUCGGGUUGUAAAGCACUUUUGUCCGGAAAGAAAUCCUUGGCUCUAAUACAGUCGGGGGAUGACGGUACCGGAAGAAUAAGCACCGGCUAACUACGUGCCAGCAGCCGCGGUAAUACGUAGGGUGCAAGCGUUAAUCGGAAUUACUGGGCGUAAAGCGUGCGCAGGCGGUUUGCUAAGACCGAUGUGAAAUCCCCGGGCUCAACCUGGGAACUGCAUUGGUGACUGGCAGGCUAGAGUAUGGCAGAGGGGGGUAGAAUUCCACGU
This 657-nucleotide ribosomal RNA is filed under the name uncultured Burkholderia sp. RNAcentral describes it as "bacterial SSU rRNA". It matches the Rfam family "Bacterial small subunit ribosomal RNA", at positions 24 to 674 of the family's 1533-position model. The record is from RNAcentral. Lineage: Bacteria; Pseudomonadati; Pseudomonadota; Betaproteobacteria; Burkholderiales; Burkholderiaceae.